UAAUACAGAGGGUGCGAGCGUUAAUCGGAUUUACUGGGCGUAAAGCGUGCGUAGGCGGCUUUUUAAGUCGGAUGUGAAAUCCCUGAGCGUAACUUAGGAAUUGCAUUCGAUACUGGGAAGCUAGAGUAUGGGAGAGGAUGGUAGAAUUCCAGGUGUAGCGGUGAAAUGCGUAGAGAUCUGGAGGAAUACCGAUGGCGAAGGCAGCCAUCUGGCCUAAUACUGACGCUGAGGUACGAAAGCAUGGGGAGCAAACAGGAUUAGAUACCCUGGUAGUCCAUGCCGUAAACGAUGUCUACUAGCCGUUGGGGCCUUUGAGGCUUUAGUGGCGCAGCUAACGCGAUAAGUAGACCGCCUGGGGAGUACGGUCGCAAGACUAAA
RNAcentral lists this ribosomal RNA (378 nucleotides) under uncultured bacterium. RNAcentral's name for it is "bacterial SSU rRNA". It matches the Rfam family "Bacterial small subunit ribosomal RNA", at positions 521 to 898 of the family's 1533-position model. The record is from RNAcentral.